GAUUUCUGGUUGGAUGCGCCUAGCCCGCCACGGUUACGUGUGUGAGUGCCGGGUCGCGUCGACCAUCCUUCUAGAGAACCUAUCUACUCUUCAUUGAGCCGGAUAUGGCAAUCUAGAUCUUUUACUUUGAAAAAAUUAGAGUGUUUAAAGCAGGCUUUUGCUAUGAAUACAUUAGCAUGGAAUAAUAAUUUAGGACUUCGGUUCUAUUUUGUUGGUUUCUAGGACUGAAGUAAUGAUUGAUAGGGAUAGUUGGGGGUGCUAGUAUUCAGCGGCCAGAGGUGAAAUUCUCGGAUUCGCUGAAGACUAACUUAUGCGAAAGCAUU
RNAcentral lists this ribosomal RNA (323 nucleotides) under Allapsidae sp. RNAcentral's name for it is "SSU rRNA". The stretch from base 108 to 323 matches the Rfam family "Eukaryotic small subunit ribosomal RNA", at positions 738 to 955 of the family's 1831-position model. The record is from RNAcentral. Lineage: Eukaryota; Cercozoa; Glissomonadida; Viridiraptoridae.